CAGUUGCAACCCACUGGAGACUUUAUACUUUUUAUUAACACAGGAGUAGAGAUCGUGCACGCGCUACACUGAGCAGUUUCUCCGCGCCUAUGGCAGCAUUUUUUCCCCUUUCCUUCGCAAGCAGAGUAGCGCGAUGGAGCGCAGAAGCCGACGACUGAGAGAACAAUAGAGGCGGUAGAGGAUCCAACCCAUACUUGACACUUGACACUGACCGUGACUCUCAGCCAGGACGGCGGAGGUAGCAUACUGCAUACCAGCGCGAACGUAACGCGCCUGAUCUCUUAUUGUUCAUUCCAAACAACCCACUCACUAAUAACCACCGCCUCAAGAAUGCACCACUGUUAUUACCCACAGGCCCCAACGCUGCCCAAUGUGUGCGGCGUUCGUUCCCUACUCACCUGGCCGGCUGGCCCCCAACUAAUUCGAAAGCCUCGUCACCCCCCCCCCCCCCCCCCCCACACACACACACACACACAAACACACAAUUCACUCAGUCACUCACAGGCCACCACAAGCCCAUCCUACUCAUUUCGCGCCCUUGGUGGUGAGCCCGAAGCCGAACGGGAAGAGCGGGUCGUAGUGCUUGUCGCCCACGUUCAUGGGCAGCUGGUCCACCGACUUGAACCACGUCCGCGACAGCUUCCCCGUGAACCCGUAGUCGCCGAACAGCACGUCCGCCACGCCCUGCCCCUCCGACCCCGGCAGCCACGCCGCCACGAACGCGUCCAUGUCGCCCACGUACGGCUCCACCACCAGGGGCCUCCCGGAGAUGAGCACCACCACGCACUUGGUCGCCUUGCACACCGACUGGAUCACGCUCGGCCCCGGCGCCGGGAUCGUCAGGUUCAGGUUGUCGCCGAACGUCUCCGCGUACGGCGGCUCCCCGACCACCACGAUCGCGUAGUCGUACUUGUCGCCGAGCACGCCGCUGUCCGGGUUCUCCGAGUACACCACCUGCGUGCUGGGAUCCACGGUCGCCUCGAUUCCGGAGAGGAUCGUCGUGCCUGUUCCAUCCACAUCCCAUCGCAAGUUAUUAUAGUUCGUUGUUGGUCACCAAUCAUUUUCUCAAGUGCGUGCCAAAUGCGCUGUAGCUGCAAGUGAGACGGAAAAGGAGACGCCACUCACCAACGGUGGUGUUGCCGCUGCUUCCUUGCCAUGUGAUCGUCCAUCCUCCGCACUGGUUGCCCAAGUCGUUGGCGUGGCUACCGGCGACCAGGAUCUUACCGGCCUUCUUCGGGAGGGGCAGCAAGGGAGCAGAGGAGGAUUUCCCGUUCUUCAGAAGAACCAGGGACUUCCUGACGGCUUCGCGUGCCAACUCCCGGUGUUCCUAUAUACCAAGGCCGGCGCAGCUAGAUGCAUCAGUAACCAUUUUCAGCAUGUAUGCAGAUGAGCAUGAUGAGGUGUUAAGAACUGACUUGCUUCCCGAUUUCACCGGCAAGGCUAGCAUCGGGGUAAGGGUUCUCAAAUAGACCCAUGGUGAACUUGACACGGAGGAUCCUGUAGACGGCAUCGUCGAUUCUGCUCAUGGGGAUGACCUUGUUCUGAACUUGUGUCGUGAGGUCGUCGAUGAAUUCUGUGUAUCUGAAUGGAACCAUGAUCUGCAUAUAAUCAUUUCAGGGCACGGUCAGCUAGCAGACGCAAUAUUGCAUUCGAACUUAUAAGUGGUAACUAAGAAGAUGAGAAGCAAUCCAGUCAUUCACUCCCAUAAUAGUUUAUUUUUGAACCAAGUACAAAAAUAAUUUAUCAGUGCCAUCCUUAUCUAAAUCAAAGAUACUUUUUAGGAACUUUUCCUUUUGUUUAGUAAAAGGGUUGGUUCUUAUGCUUUAGUGUUUUUUUUUGAAGAAAAAAAAAUCAACUAAUGCACAUGUUUCACAUAUCUUAUUCUCACCAUGUCAAUACCAGCACCAACUCCAGCCUCAAUUGAAUAAGAAUAGUUGGCGUGAGGAGGAGUAGUGAUCCGAUCAAUGCCCUCCCAAUCGGAAAUCACAAAACCCUGUUUGCAAAAGAUGUUCAAAUUUGAGUUUGUAACUGACGUGAAUAUAUAAACAGAAAAAUCUUGAGCCUUUGUAAUGACCAACUGACCCUAAACUUGAGCUUGUUCUUGAGAAAAUCUGUGACUAGGAAAUGGUUUGCGUGCAUCUUUUUUCCAUUCCAGCUGGAGUACGAGGUCAUGACUGUAGAGACACCUCGAAUAAUAGAGUUAUAGUAAGGAGGCAUGUGGAUGCUCAUCAGUCCAUGUGUGUCGAUGAUCGUGUUGUUCUCGUUGAUUCCCAUAUACGUUCCACCAUCACCAACAUAGUGCUUCGCGCAUGCAGCAACCUUCUUACUGUAGAGUACAGCAGCGAAAACAGAUUUAGUUCAGCAUUGGAAUUGAACAUUACUUGUCUGCUUCCACCUUUUAAAACAGAAGCUGGCUCUACAAGCCAUGAAAUAAGACAAUCUAGCUAUAAUCUGUUUGGUGUAGUAUACCUUCCACCAACAUAUGGUCUUCCCACAAAAUCCGCAGGAGCAUCGCCUUGUAAGCCAGAGAUGAGUGAAGUCAGUGACUGGACAACCUUUGGGUCCUCACUAUAGCUCUCAUAGCAGCGCCCCCAUCUUGGAUCUCUACAAACCUGGGCAAUAUCAUGUAAGCUACAGGCAUGAGUUUAAAGGGAUAACAAAACGGCACAUUUAUAACCGAAAUAAAACAUCCACAGUACAGCAGGAAGAAAUGCCUAUUACCGCAAUACAUGGAGCAAAGGCAUAAGGAAUUCCAGUAGCUCUAACUUCAAGAGCAGUUGCUUCUCCAAUUCUCUUAACGAGGUCAGGGUCCCUGGAAUAGAAUUACAACAGCACAUCAACAUGAUAAUAUAGACUGGCAAAUGCUUGUCGCAACUUGUCUGAACUAGCACUACCAUAUGAGCAUACUGAAAGGCAUAGCAAAGUAGGUGCAGCUUGUACCUGGUAGCUCCAAGCCCGACGUUGUGAGGGAAGAUAGUAGCUUUGUAGACGUUAUUGUGACCAUGCACAGCAUCAAUACCGUAGAUGAUCGGGAUACCUAGACGUGUAGAAAGAGCGCCCUUCUGCAUCUCAGUCACCAUGGAGGCCCAAGCCUCAGCAGAUGCUUGAGGAGCAGGCACACUGCCUCCGCCACUCAGUACGCUACCUGCAAAACAGCACAGCAAAAUCAAAUGCAUACUCGCCAGUCUGUCACCUUCUCCAUUUUUCAGUGUUAAUAUAAUCUGACAUACCUAUGAAGUAUUUCGCCAGUGCAUCGGCUGUGGCAUUUUCCCUCUCAAUCUGGGUCAUCUGGCCAAUCUUUUCUGCAAGAGUCAUCCGACUCAGCAGAUCCUUGACACGAACAGCGAUAGGCUGCUUCGGAUCCUUGUACUUGAGGUAAUCUGCUCUCCCCAACGCUAACAGGCAGAACAUGAGAACAAGGGUGAUCUUGUGUAUGUUCGCCAUCUUGUCUGUGUGGUUCUGAUCACCACGAACCACCUAUAUAUAGACCUGGCAGAAGGAUGCCAAACAGAUGAGUUAACGUUCAAUAAAGCUUAUUCAAUAAAUAUGCAAUAUUAUAGUAAGUCUCUUGUUUAAAAAACACACACAUAAAACUCUAUAAUUGGACCGGUUCCAGAUGCUGCCAUAAAAAAAUAAAAUAAAAAAACACGCACAAAAGGGAGCAGAUAACUUAAAAUCGGUUGUGUUUUGUGCCUUUCUUUGUUUGAAACAGCGUAAAGUUGCUGAAACCCAGCAUGUUUAUAGGGAAAACAAACCCAAAGCUACCUAACCUUGAUUGGUUGAACUGAGCCGGCACAAAAGAAAGGGGGUGAUGAAGAAUAAAAUGCAGUUUGAACAGAAUACUAUAGGCACCACCACAUCAUGAGCACACUGACUCUUUCAGAAGCUAGCACAAUGAAUACCUCAGAAUAUAUAUAUACUCGACUCAAAGUAAGCAACUAGCAAUCCGCAUGAGCACGACCGCAAAUGCAAAAGGCAGGAAUAUUUCCUGCAAGAAAAAAUGCAGAAAAGCUUUAUGCUUGCUGCUCAGGAAGGGUGAGGAUGUCCUCAAAGGAACGGAAUCCGGAUUCCUCUUAUAAGCACCAGUGGAUGUGAUGAUCAGUGGCCCAUGAGUGUUGCACCGACAUGAAGACGGAUGGCAAGGCAACAAAAUCAAAAGAAAUAAGGGUUGUGAUUAGUAGGGGGGACCUAGAACAAGCUGUCGCCAACGACGGUUGAGCAUACAAUCUCUCGACCUCCACCACUCAGCUCGUGAAUGCACCACCAUGAGCGGCAUCUAUCAGUUAGAAUGUCGCUGUGGAUAAGAUCAGCGGCCAUGAUUAAUUGGUCUCCCCAUCGUUAUAGAACAAUCCAAGUUGCAAUCAUCCACUCGAUCUCCCACUGACCAAUCUGCCCACUAGGCUAGGAUAUUUGGGUUGUGCAGUAUUCUAGUCUAAGAACCAUGCAGCCAUUUGAAUAGGGAGAAUCUGGCCUAAGAGGCACUAAGAAAAUGUGCCUGUCUGCGCUAGAAUUCACUCGCCCGGCCAGCACCGCCUGCUGCCGCUGCGUCGAAUUGUUUCAUCGCUCCGAAAGGGACAUCGGAGCCGAAGACGUGCGCCGGAGGCCUCGGCACGCCAAGGCCAAGUCGCCUUGCUCUGCGUCGCCAGGUUCAGACCGUGAAGGAGCAGAAUAAGACAGCACAACCACUUGGGAAAGUUUUUUGGGAAAGUUUUGGAUUAAAUUAGGAGAAAAUCUUGGACUUGCAAGACCAAACCUACUAACCACUAAACAAACUGGUACAGGGCUACUGGCUACAGGCAUCUAAAUAUUUCUUUUGAUAGCAAGCUGGCCAUGGGCUGCGUGCAAGCAAGGCAGAUUUGGUCGAUAAGAAAUUCAGAACAAUUCCUCGCGUGGAGGGCACAUCCAUCAGCGAGCUCCUCCACGGUUGCCCGUGCGAAGCUGGCGUCAGGAAUUCAAAAGGAACCCAAGGUGGCAGGCUGGUCACUCUCCACUACUACUACACCACCAUUACACAGACAACGAAGCCACGCCAUGACAUGAACGACACCAUGGGAUGGAUGCGACGCUACCACCACCAUCACGCAUCAGCGUCACCUCCUCUGCUAGAGCCCAAGACAGGGCAGCGCAGGUGGUUCGCAAAUCCACAUCUGCCCGCAAAGAUUUUUAGCAUUUUGUGGCCUCUCCACCCCGGGACGGAGCCAGGAAGGGUCGGUGGAGGGCGCUGCCGAGCCUGGAAGGCCCUGGAGAGCCGCCGCCCCCUUCCCCCAAACUGACGCGUGUGUGUGUGUGUGCAGCGCAGUCCGCUACCGCUAGCGAUUGCGACGGAGAGGAAGGAGCAGGACGGAGAAGAUGUGAAGUGCACAGGCAACCAAGGGGAGGGGGCUCACCGAUUACCAGCAGGCGGCGCGGUGACGAGACGGAGAGCGGCCGGGGGAGUGGGCGCUGCGCCUGCGCCGGCGAGCAGCAGCACAGCUUGCGCACCGGGAAGCUGGCAGUGGCAGCUCGCUCCCCCGGGGCAGUGAAGGCUGGCGACGAGUGCCGAGGGCCCGAGGCUUUAUUGCGCUCGUCGUCGCCGCCUUUACUGAGCCGCUUUUUUUUUUCACCCCGGGAAUCUACAGCAGAACACCAAAGGCUGGCGACUGUGAAUUUGACCGUGCUGGUGUUCGGGUGGCGGGGAGGGACCAACCCGCACUCACGCUAGUGGCUCACUGCCUGGUGGGCCCACCACACAGUUGUCAGCACUGGACCCGUGUGUAAAGUUUUACAGUGGCUGGUACCAGCGCUGUUCUGUUUGUUGCCCUUUUUGGCGGGUGGACUCGUGUGAUGUGUGCUCGGGACUCGUGGUCGUGGCACCUUUUUCCGUUUUGUUUUCUUUCCCGUCUUCGCAGUGUGUAGCGUACCCCGCAAAAUACUCCAGUGGCUGUAAAAAGCUGUGCUGUACACCAGGCACCAGCGAUCUGGUGAAUACGGUACGGUACGCGGAUUAAUUAGUGGUUUAGUACUCCCCAAAUAGAGACGUUGGCACGUUGCUGUUGUCGGACUAGUAGUAUUUCGCUAGCCAACGGUCGAUUAUUAGCUGUAAACUUGCUGCUUGAGUAGGAGUGCUUCAACACGAAUACACAAUGGACUACAUUUUCAACGCAAGGAUAAAAGCUCUAUUAUCAUUAGUCCGUUGCUCAUUAAUGUACUCCAACCGGGCCCUUGUUUAGUUCUAAAAAAAUUAUAAAAAUUCGGUCAUAUCAAAUCUUACUGUAAAUAUAUGAAAUAUUAAAUAUAAAUAAAAAAACUAAUUAUACAAUUACCUGUAAUUUAUGAGAUAAAUUCUUUAAACCUAAUUAGUCUAUGAUUACACAAUAUUUGUCAAAUACAAACGAAAGUGCUAUCAUAUUUAUUUUGAAAAAAAAACUAAACAAGGCCCGAGAGCAUACUGAGCGUAGCCUACAUCACUACUCCUACCGAGUACUGUACUCCCGUUCAGCGCUCUUGUUGAUGAUACGCACACAAACACGUCGUCCGCAGGGAAAUUCGGGCGUCCCUGGCCGCACGAGCGCUGAUUGUCGCUUCGGUGACACCGAAAUGAAUGGGAUCUUCUCCUCCGAUCCUUAUCUCGACAGCCCGGCGCACACUAAUCCGGCGACUAUUCCCCUGAUCUGAUCGGAAAUCCCAGUCACGCGCGGGCGCAAAAAUGUCAAAGGAUCUGAUCGAUUUUCCUGACGAAAAGGCAUAAUCGCGGCAGCGGAACUGCCUGCAGAUCAGACGGCCACGCAGCCUUCCAGCCGCAAAAAGAAUAGCAUAUUCAUGUUCAUACAUUGAUCAGGGUAGAGACCGAUGGCACGCGCAACGCAAGUUGGGACUUGGGACCAUAAUAACGACGCAUCAGGAGCACGUGUCCGCUGUCAGCAUAAACGCCUUAUCUGCACCCGUCCCAUACAGAUAACGUCGAAAAAGUUAAGUAAACCCUAUCUCGGACGUGAGAUCCAGAUCGCGUAAAACGCUGAGAAGCUGAGAGAGAUGAAUGAGUGAGCGGCAGAUCCAGAUCACGAGCCCGCGCGCUCUGACAAUCCGAACAGUAACUACACGAGUGAGCAGCCACUCGUCACGCUGCAACAAUCGCAACAAGUCAAGAAGUUUAGGUACUACAGUACUGUACUAUUGUUAUAUACUCCUAUCUGGGCACCACGUACUGGUUGCAACUAGUAGACACCUUUGCAGGUAAUCGCAGUCUUACCAGGAGUAUACAAAGGGAAAAACUCGUGCGCCAUGCAUGCUAGGUCCCGGGCUCUCCUAACCAGCUUUCUGACGCUCUCACCAGUCGUCAGUUAAAAAAAAAUUAAACCUGUGCAAGAAUCAAGAUCCAUGUACUACGACGUCACAGCCUGCGGGCUAUGCAGGUUGCAGGCAGCCACAUGGAAUGGAAUGGAAAACGGAACGGGGACAAAAAUGAAGCAGAAACGACGGAACGGGUAGAUAAAAAGGAACAUGGGGUGCCCGACUGUGUUGGACUACACUACAGAACAUUACUAGAGUUUACGGCGUGUGACUCUGGCAGUAGCAGUGCACCUGUUAGGCGAAAGUAUAAACAGCUGCACAUGCAGGGCCGUCCCCCCUCCAGCUCCAGCUAGGGCGGCUAGCCUGGAGCACAGAGCAGCGCACCACCAGUCCACCACGGGCAGUACGUUGCACGGGAGCGCACGGCGGGCCUGACAGUGGCGUGCAGAUCAGGAAGGCCGAGGCAUUGUUUACUUCCCAGAAAAUUUUGCAAAAUUUUUCACAUUCCCCGUCACAUCGAAUCUUUAGACACAUAUAUGGAGUAUUAAAUAUAGAUGAAAGUAAAAACCCACAGUUUGGUCGAAAUUGACGAGACGAAUCUUUUGAGCCUAGUUAGUGCAUGAUUGGACAAUAUUUAUCAAAUACAAACGAAAAUGCUACAGUGCCUGUUUUGCAAAAAUUUUUUGAACUAAACUGGGCCUUGUUUACUUCCGAAAAGAUUUCGGAUUUCGGUACUGUAGCACUUUCGUUUGUUUGUGACAAAUAUUAUCCAAUUAUGGACUAACUAGGAUCAAAAGAUUCGUCUCGCGAUUUCCAGCUAAACUGUGUAAUUAGUUUUUGCUUUUAUUUAUAUUUAAUGCUUCAUGCAUGUGCCGUAAGAUUCGAUGUGACGGGAAAUCUUGAAAACUGUUGCUUUUUGGGUGAACUAAGGCCCUGGUUGGGUUGCGUGAUCUGAUCUGGGGCAGGCAGAGGCAAGGCAGCCGGGUGGGCGCCACGGUUUCUAUAGCCGAAUCUUAAACGCGUCGUUGUACUACGCAGGAAAGGAUGGCCUUGCCUUGCCUGCGUGCCCGCCCGGCCGGUGCAUUGGCGUGCAGGCGCAGCUGCUGGUGCUGUUGCAAAGUUUAAUACUGGCCGUGAAGGGAUGUCGUGCGUGCCGGCGCCAUUAAGAGCGUGACAGGGGGUUAAUACGCUAAGGACUUGUUUAGUUCACCCAAAAACUAAGAUUUUCCGUCACAUCGAAUCUCGCCACACAUGCAUGAAAUAUUAAAUAUAAAUAAAAAUAAAAACUAAUUAGUCUGUGAUUGAACAAUAUUUGUCAAAUAAAAACGUAAAUACUACGUUACCGAAAUUAAAAAUAUUUUCAGAACUAAACAAUGCUUAAACCGUCCGGGCCAAAAUCAAGCGGCUGAUCACUUGCUGUCCACACAGGAUUCAUCCAGUACUAAGGAUUUGUUUCCACUUGGCUGUCCUGUGACUGCCACGACCGGUUCACCAAAACACGCCGUACGCGCAGAGACGCAUGCAGCACGCUGCACGCAUGACUACUGCUACAUGAAGAGCCAGCCAAGAGUGUCUACUACAUUGCUACAAUCCGGCACUGCUACUGUUUUUGUUGCUUGCAGCUGGGUCCGUGUCCGUCCAGUACAUCGAUGGAUCAGAGAAGCAGCAAAGAACCUACAAAUGCUUGUCUAAGGCCAUAGGCGAGCAUCAUCAGCAUGAAACUCCAUCAUUGCUCCUCAUGGCAGGUCACGACAAGCUACUUUGGCCGUCCAGUACAUCGAUGGAUCAUAGAACCAGCAAAGAACAGGGAAAAUGCUUGUUACAUCGAUGGAUCAGAGAACCAGCAAAGAACAGGAAAAAUGCUUGUCUAAGACUAUCUCCAACGAUCAUCGCCCAAAAUACAAGACCUAUUUAUCCUUUGGGUAGCGCUACAGGUAAAAGGUUCCAUACCUAUAUUUAGUCUUCUCCAGCAACGAGACCUAAAAGAAAACACUCUCUACAAAUGGGUCUCGAGGAGAGAAAAUACCCAAAUUUGGGUUAUGCCUCUCCUGAUACCUAAAAUGGGUUUUCUAUAUGCGUACUCUGUUGGAGGCUAUAGGUAUUGUGUUGGAGACCCAUUUUGGGUUUAGGUUCCCAAAUGGGUCUCCUAUUGGAGACAGCCUAAGGCCUUGUUUACUUACAACUAAAAACCCAAAAUUUUUCAAGAUUUUCUGUCACAUCGAAUCUUUAGACACAUGCAUAGAGUAUUAAAUAUAGACGAAAAUAAAAACUAAUUGCACAGUUUGGUCGAAAUUUACAAGACGAAUUUUUUAAGUCUAGUUAGUCCAUAAUUGAACAAUAAUUAUCAUAAAUAAACAAAAGUGUUACAGUGUCGCGAAAUUUUUCUCCUUCGCGACGGCCUAAAGCCAUAGGCGAGCAUUAUCAGCAUGAGACUCCAUCAUUGCUCCUCAUGGCAGUCACGACAAAGGACUUUGGCCGUCACUCAGUUGCCAUCAUGACAGUAAGUCUGUUUGUUUAACUUAUUUAUUAUUAAAUUUAUCAGUUAUUUAAUAAUAUUUUUUUCUAAUAAUAAAUUAAUAAAUAAUAUUUUUAGCCAUGACUUUUAUAUUACAAGCUAAAAGACUCAUGGAUUCCCGUUUAGAAAUAAAGCCCAUCCACGCGGCAACGCAACGUAACGCGCGCAUGAAUCUAAGCGCUAGACUAGAACAUUGCGCGGCGUUGCCGCGCCAAAUGGCCCUCCAGAUAUGAAUAGUCAUAAUUCUGGAUGUUAUGUACAUAAGAUAUAUGGUACACAUGCAUAUAUAAAGUUCUGUCAUAGUUGAAAAUACACUAAAGCUGAAUGGUACAAAAAUUGAGAAUUUGUGGAGCAAUCAUAAAUUGUUGUAAUAGCUUAUGUCAUGCUAUCUAUAUAUGUAGGGGUAUUUGUGAAAUGAUUGUUUAGGGUGCCAUAGCGCCUUGAAGGUCGGAUCAGUACCCAGACUCAAACUCGCCCAAAGGGGAGCAAGGCCAUCAGCAGCCAUAUUACAAGAAUGCCGGCUAUGAGCUACACUAUACGAAAUGAAAUUACUUCUUAGCAAACCCCCAUCCACCUGAUCACGUGCUUGAAGAGAAGGCUCCAUCGCAGUUGAUGUUAACGGUAUUCACCAAAGGUGGUGUCCAAAUUUUUCUGGGUUUCGACUGAACAUCCACUUCCUUGGACUGCUUGAGUGUCGACCACUCUGCUGCAGAGGAAACGAUCAAACAUGCCAACCGUCCACUAUCUCUCGGCUGCUCACCUUCUGUUAAGUAGUGCUUCUCCUCCCUGCCAUCUCUUGACUGUUAAGUAGUGCUUCCCCUCCCUGCCAGAUACUUGAAACAAAAGGAUGGCAGGGAGGGGAAGCACUACUUAACAGAUUCAUUAGUACAUUUGUCAGUUAAUAUGUAAUAACUUUAGCAGUGAAACCUAUUGGGUACACUGCCAGAAAUACUUUAGCAUGGUGUGUAUUGUUUGCAUAAUGAAGAAACAUUAACAGAAAAAUAUGCAGUUAUGGGUAAAUGUGAUGUAUAUCUAUGUUUAGCAUUAAUUGAUUAAUCUAUAUGAAUGGUAAAAGAAAGUGAGCAUCGCAGUCGCUGCUUCCAGAAAUUGUUGGAUUGCUACUAACUUCCUCAAAUGGGAUAGCAACAUGGGGUGGCCUCAGUUUGCCAUUUAAUAAGGAGCUAAAAUGUUCAUUGCAAUCUGCUCUUUCUUAAAACUCUGAAUUCAAAUACCUGGACACAGGUUUUAGAAGAACAUGUAACUGUGAAAUUAACACCUGGCAACCUUUUUAUUUUCAGUGGUAGAGUCCAAACGGAGAGACUGCAAAACUUAAAUGAGAAUAUCCCUGGUGGUCGAUAAUUGGUCAGCAGAUCUAUCUGUUUCUUAACAUGGAAGCGACUUCAUUCUAAGUUCCUUGUUGCCCUAUAAAGUCUUCAGAAGGAACCAAAGGAGUUAUAUUACCUCUUGUUUGUCAAGCUAUUUGACCUGAAGGUAAAAUAAAAAAUAUGUAUGAAGCAAAAAUAGAAGAAAUGCAUAUUGUAAAUUCAAAUAACAACUUUUACAAACUAUAAGUUUGAUUAGGAUGUAUAAGAAAGAAUGUAAUUCUACUGACAAGUAAGGUUUGUCUCUGGCAGAUAAAUAUAAGUUUGUGUUUCAAAUGCCUAUAUGUCACCAUGAUAUUGCUUCAUCUACACUAUAAUCCAACGUUUGCUGUUUUCAAAUUAAACCGGCGGGUAUCUCAUAGCUGCAACAUGCAGCUCACUUGUGUUAAUACAAAAAUUUAUCCUUUAAAUGAUGAAUAGAAAACUAAAACUAAAAUUAUCUAUUAGAGCUAAUUUUGUCAGACACAUUUUUCCAAUUGUCAUUAUAUUUUGUAUCUUACUAUCGGGCAAUUUGGGUUAGUUGUGCAUUAUCUCAAAGAUUGGUUGUGUCGUCUGUAAGCAAGAAAGCAGUUGUAUUGUAUACCAAAUUGCUCAUAUGUGACCAAAUAGGACAAUCAAAUAUUCGUUCUGAAGUUAAGCUUACAGGUAUCUCACAACUAUUUCAUAUCAUCAUGGGACAGGUCAAUCUUAAGUAAAUUAGUAAUUUUAAAACUGGGAAAUCAUGACCAAUAUGCAAGUACCCAGACCUAUAUUUUUCCAACUGCUAAAGAAAUGAAAAGCCAUAUCUAUUGCUGAAACAACCUUGUAUCCAGACCUACCUUUUCAGUUGCACAAGCGUACAGAGGAAAAUCUUUGACAAUGCUGAUAGCUCAAGUUGCUUUCCUUCCUUGUUGAGGAACUCCAAUUGAGCGGAUCAGUAGCUUUGCCUGCAAUCAUGUUAUAAAUUUGUAAUCAAGCAUAUAUCCUAUAGAAUUAGCACAAACUGAGCACUACUAUGAUUUUAUCAUUUAUAUAUACAGCGGAUAAGAUUGAACUGAUUUUUAGAAGCAAUACUUAUAUGAGCAGUGUUAAUAAUACGGAGUAUCUAUUGCAUUCUUAAUUACACAUGAAUUGAGGUGUGGAGCCUUACAUUGUCAUUCUCCAUCAGCUUGGUGCUGUUGUAAAAUUUGAAGCCUGAUGGCACUGGUGGCCUGGUGGGUAGGAGAGGACGCGAGGUCUUUCAUCUUUGGUGAUGGCCUGGGAAUGACCCAGCGUGGUCUGCGCUGGCGGCACUCGCACCGGCGGCGGUAGGGAUGGGAGCUCCUUAGCGAUGCACGGUACAUGGAGGGCCGAGGAGAGCAAGGCGCAGAUGCCUGUAGGGGAAGCAGGAGGCGCCAACGGAGAUGUGGAGGCGGAGGCCAACUGGCCGAGGGACAGGUCCGAGACGUUGUCCGUCGUGUCCGCGUCGAGGAAGAGAAAAGCGCCGUGUGUAGGUGGGGCCCUCGAGGAAGAGGAGGAGCUGAUGGCCUCCUCGGCGCGGGCGAUGCCGUUGCCGCGGACUGGGUGGUGGUGUGCGUUCGGAGGGCGGCGGCCAGCAGGGGCAUCAGAGGUACGGGGAAGAGGACUGGAAACAAAUUGGAAAAAGGACUGUGUUGGAAAGAUUUGCGAUUGAAAUUUUCUCGAAGGAUCUAGACAGAAACGUCGCCACGAGCCAAUCCGACGGCUUUCGACUCUCUAUCGGGAGAUCCGACGGAUAUCAAGAGAUAGAUGACGUGGAGGGCUAUUUUGCAAAGACCGCGACGCGGUUUCAGUUUUUAAAGAUAAAGAUUACACGACGCCCUAGUGGUCGGCACGGCAGUGAGAUACUCUCACGGCAACGGGACGGCCAUCUCGUGAUCUCGACCGGCGGCGUGCUUCGACACAGCUACUCCAGUGCUACAGCUCGCGGACCACGGUCGCAGGAGGGCGGCGGCCCGGGUGCAUGCCGCUGCAGCCAGCGCGCGCGAGCCGCCGCCGAGUCCGGCCGGGGACCAAGAGAGCAGCAUUCCAGGUUGCAAAAGGUCUCAAAAUAUGGGCCACCAAGGAGUGGGCCUGUCCCGUCGUUUGGUGGUUGGUUUCCGUGAUCCGUUUCGCCUGUAAAAAGGCGGAAGAACGGGGACAGCCGGACAGGCCAACCAGGCAAGUAGCGAGGCAACGAGCCCAUGCGUGGUCCAGCAUGCGUGCCGCGCUUUUUUUUUAAAAAAAAAGUGUAUGCAUAUUUUAAAUUUAAAAAGACAACAUAUAGUUUUUUUAUAAAAUGUACACCCUUUUUACCAAAUUAUAAUACAUUUUAGAUAAUCUAGAUACAUUAAUUUUACUGUGUAUCUAGACAUGGUGUAUAUCCAAGUGUGUAGAAAAACCAAAAGAUCUCAAUUUAGAUGGAGAAGGUAUAAAAUUAAAUGUAUUAUCGACUCACAUUUUGACAAUAAUGUUGGGGGAUUUGUAUGAAUAGCCCGCCAGGCGGAUAGAAAUAAUGUAUCAUCACCGUCUUAGUGGACGGUCCAUUUCUAUCUCACGUUUUAAAACAGAGUAGUUUUUUCCUAAAAAAAAAACAGAGUAGUUUGUAUGAACAGUUUUGAGUUACCAUAAAAAUCACAAGUUUUCAUAGGCGAUCCAAUAGCACACUUGAAAAAUAGCUGUCUAUAUGAAUUACCUUUUGAGGUACCACAAAAAUCAUAAUAUUUUUCAUAGGUGCUCCAAUGAAGACAAAAUUUACAUGAGAAUUUAAAUAGGACAAGAUGUACAACAUUUCUAUACUCCAUUAGUAGCCAUAUACUAAUGUGCAGCUUAUUUGUGUUUAAUGUAAACCCGUUUCUAUACACACCUUGUGUUUCCAACAACGUUUACAAAUAAACAGGAAACACACACACAGAUGGUUCAGUUAAGGUAUGAAAGAGAGCCACCAAAUGAACAUUAUCCGCUUAACCCAAGAAGGCCUCGAAUGCAAGAUCACAGGCUUAGGCCUUGUUUAGUUCCCGAAAUGAAAAAUUUUCGGCACUGUAGCACUUUUGUUUGUUUAUGGUAAAUAUUAUUCAAUCAUGAACCAACUAGCAUUAAAAGAUUUGUCUCGUGAUUUACAGAUAAACUGUGUAAUUAGUUUUUAUUUUCAUCUAUAUUUAAUAUUUCAUACAUGUGUCGCAAUCGAUAAAACUUUUUAGUUUUUGGGGUGAACUAAACAAGGCCUUAAAAUUGUACAGAUCAUUUAGAGAUGAUCAAUGCACAGAAGGUCGUCCGUUACCCAAAAGAAAAUGCACACAUGGUUCGAUGUGCUCGUCCAGGCGACCGACAAUUGCAUGGUCACACUCACCGAAGAUGAAAAACGUGCAAAAUGUGUGAGUCAGUGGUGCUGUAUGGUAUGUGCACAUAUGGACCACGGAUGUUAGCACAUUACCUUUGAAUUGCAAAACUAACAAGAGUAUCACAUCCAAAUCAAUUACAUUAUUUUAUCGAUCUUAAUUUCCUAACUCCACCUAAAAAAGGUCUUGCUCUGAGUAUCCUCUACCAAAAUGGAAUUAUGCUUAUUUUCCGUUCCCACUAACUUCCAUUUCAUCACACACACCGAAGACGAGCAAAAAAAGAGAGUGCCACUGCUACUUGUGACCCGCGGCCUUGGUGGUGAGCCCGAAGCCGAACGGGAAGAGCGGGUCGUAGUGCUUGUCGCCGUAGUUCAUGGGCAGCUGGUCCACCGACUUGAACC
This 14881-nucleotide long non-coding RNA is filed under the name Sorghum bicolor (sorghum). RNAcentral's name for it is "long non-coding RNA (SBIC_LNC000113)". The record is from RNAcentral. Lineage: Eukaryota; Viridiplantae; Streptophyta; Magnoliopsida; Poales; Poaceae.